UACGGAGGGUGCGAGCGUUAAUCGGAAUUAUUGGGCGUAAAGGGUGCGUAGGUGGUUGAAUAAGUUAUCUGUGAAAUCCCCGGGCUUAACCUGGGACGGUCAGAUAAGACUGUUUGACUCGAGUACGGGAGAGGGUAGUGGAAUUUCCGGUGUAGCGGUGAAAUGCGUAGAGAUCGGAAGGAACACCAGUGGCGAAGGCGGCUACCUGGCCUGAUACUGACACUGAGGCACGAAAGCGUGGGGAGCAAACAGGAUUAGAUACCCGUAGU
Molecule: ribosomal RNA, 269 nt
Filed under: uncultured bacterium
Lineage: Bacteria
Description: partial 16S ribosomal RNA
Rfam family: Bacterial small subunit ribosomal RNA
Source: RNAcentral